AGAGUUUGAUCAUGGCUCAGAGCGAACGCUGGCGGCAGGCUUAACACAUGCAAGUCGAGCGGGCGUAGCAAUACGUCAGCGGCAGACGGGUGAGUAACGCGUGGGAACGUACCUUUUGGUUCGGAACAACACAGGGAAACUUGUGCUAAUACCGAAUAAGCCCUUACGGGGAAAGAUUUAUCGCCGAAAGAUCGGCCCGCGUCUGAUUAGCUAGUUGGUGAGGUAAUGGCUCACCAAGGCGACGAUCAGUAGCUGGUCUGAGAGGAUGAUCAGCCACAUUGGGACUGAGACACGGCCCAAACUCCUACGGGAGGCAGCAGUGGGGAAUAUUGGACAAUGGGGGCAACCCUGAUCCAGCCAUGCCGCGUGAGUGAUGAAGGCCCUAGGGUUGUAAAGCUCUUUUGUGCGGGAAGAUAAUGACGGUACCGCAAGAAUAAGCCCCGGCUAACUUCGUGCCAGCAGCCGCGGUAAUACGAAGGGGGCUAGCGUUGCUCGGAAUCACUGGGCGUAAAGGGUGCGUAGGCGGGUUUUUAAGUCAGGGGUGAAAUCCUGGAGCUCAACUCCAGAACUGCCUUUGAUACUGAAGAUCUUGAGUCCGGGAGAGGUGAGUGGAACUGCGAGUGUAGAGGUGAAAUUCGUAGAUAUUCGCAAGAACACCAGUGGCGAAGGCGGCUCACUGGCCCGGUACUGACGCUGAGGCACGAAAGCGUGGGGAGCAAACAGGAUUAGAUACCCUAGUAGUCC
RNAcentral lists this ribosomal RNA (744 nucleotides) under uncultured bacterium. Its description in RNAcentral is "bacterial SSU rRNA". It matches the Rfam family "Bacterial small subunit ribosomal RNA", at positions 8 to 796 of the family's 1533-position model. The record is from RNAcentral.